Molecule: ribosomal RNA, 301 nt
Filed under: uncultured bacterium
Lineage: Bacteria
Description: partial 16S ribosomal RNA
Rfam family: Bacterial small subunit ribosomal RNA
Source: RNAcentral
CAGCAGCCGCGGUAAUACAGAGGGUGCGAGCGUUAAUCGGAUUUACUGGGCGUAAAGCGUGCGUAGGCGGCUUCUUAAGUCGGAUGUGAAAUCCCUGAGCUUAACUUAGGAAUUGCAUUCGAUACUGGGAAGCUAGAGUAUGGGAGAUGAUGGUAGAAUUCCAGGUGUAGCGGUGAAAUGCGUAGAGAUCUGGAGGAAUACCGAUGGCGAAGGCAGCCAUCUGGCCUAAUACUGACGCUGAGGUACGAAAGCAUGGGGAGCAAACAGGAUUAGAGACCCCUGUAGUCCCUGUCUCUUAUAC